Gavialis gangeticus (Gharial) is the source of this 444-nucleotide long non-coding RNA. RefSeq lists it as uncharacterized. The record is from RefSeq and is a predicted model, not a curated record. The transcript has 2 exons. NCBI's taxonomy places the organism in Eukaryota, Metazoa, Chordata, Crocodylia, Gavialidae.
CUGUGUCCAACGUUGAAUGAGCUCUUCAGUGAGUGCAUCACACCUAGGCAGCAAAGCCCUCUAAAGUGCUCUGGGGCCCCCAGGGGAAGGAAAGGUACAUGAUCAAAACACAUUCUUACUAAUGGAUCAGUCCUGUUGGACUCCACUUGUGGUGCUGAGUGGGUGUGAGCAGAAGUCACUGUGAUGGUAAUUGCUUGCUUUGCUAACACUUGGCUUUGAAGAAAAAGCUGGCAAAAGUAGUUGGACCCUAAUACCAGCCCAGCACUAGUGACUGGCUGUGGCCUAUUUCUCUAUGAUUUCUAAGUCACACUUCGUGUAGCUGCUCAAGAUUUAAAGAGAAGUCAAGUCAAUAUAAAAGAGUAACCUAACAGCUUUAUGCAUAAUUGUGUGCUUCCCCAUAGUCAUUGCAAGAUGCUUUUAUUAUGAGAAUUCUUUCGGUGAGAC